RNAcentral lists this ribosomal RNA (2094 nucleotides) under Actinomycetes bacterium. Its description in RNAcentral is "bacterial LSU rRNA". It matches the Rfam family "Bacterial large subunit ribosomal RNA", at positions 1 to 2055 of the family's 2925-position model. Lineage: Bacteria; Bacillati; Actinomycetota; Actinomycetes. The record is from RNAcentral.
UUAAACUAUUAAGAGCGCAUGGCGGAUGCCUUGGCAAUAAGGGCCGAAGAAGGGCGUAGCAAGUCUACGAUAAGCCUCGACUAGCUGUCUAGCAAGCUUAAUCGAGGAUUCCCGAAUGUGGAAACACAUCUUUAGUGAUACAAAUCCUUUUUUGGAUUUGAGGUAAGUGGGGGAACUGAAACAUCUAAGUACCCUGAGGAAAAUAAAUCGAAUGAGAUUCCCUGAGUAGCGGUGAGCGAAACGGGAGCAGCCUAAACUUUCAGAUCUUAACGGGUUGGAGCCUUUUGAUCUGUUUUGGUUGUAGGAGUCUAUAUGAGUAGCUCCAACUACUCAGAAGAGUAAAAAAUUAUUUCUUUAUAAGAAUGAAGCUUGGAAAAGCCAGCCAUAGAGGGUGAUAGCCCCGUAUUUUAAAAAGAAAUAACUCUUCAUAGAUUUCCUGAGUACCACGGGACACGUGAAAUCCUGUGGGAAUCUGGGGAGACCACUCUCCAAGGCUAAAUACCCUUGUUGACCGAUAGCGAACUAGUACCGUGAGGGAAAGGUGAAAAGAACCCCGAAAGGGGAGUGAAAUAGAACUGAAACCGUGUGCUUACAAGCCGUGGGAGCAUCUUAGGAUGUGACCGCGUGCCUAUUGAAGAAUGAGCCGACGAGUUAAUCUAUAUAGCAAGGUUAAGACAUUACGUGUUGUAGCCGAAGCGAAAGCAAGUCUGAAUAGGGCGUUUUAGUUGUAUGGAUUAGACCCGAAACCGUGUGAGCUAUCCAUGACCAGGGUGAAACGAAAUUAACGUUUCGUGAAGGCCCGAACCCUUGUACGUUGCAAAGUGCUGGGAUGAGUUGUGGAUAGAGGUGAAAUGCCAAUCGAACACGGAGAUAGCUGGUUCUCCCCGAAAUGUAUUUAGGUACAGCCUUAGGUAUUAACUAAUGGAGGUAGAGCACUGGAUGAGCUAGCGGGCGCAAGCAUUAGCAAACUCAACCAAACUCCGAAUGCCAUUAGCCGAAUCCUAGGAGUGAGACAGUGACGGAUAAGCGCCAUUGUCGAAAGGGAAACAGCCCAGAUCGCAAGCUAAGGUCCCUAAGUGAUGACUAAGUGGUAAAGGAGGUGGAGUCGCCCAGACAGCUAGCAGGUUGGCUUAGAAGCAGCCAUCCUUUAAAGAGUGCGUAACAGCUCACUAGUCGAGGGGUUCUGCGCCGAAAAUUAUCGGGGCUAAGUCAUUCACCGAAGCUGCGGGAUUCUUUAUUGAAUCGGUAGGGGAGCGUUCUCAAUGCGUUGAAUCUGGACCGUGAGGUUUAGUGGAGCGUUGAGAAGUGAGAAUGUCGGCAUGAGUAGCGACAAUCUUUGUGAGAAUCAAAGACACCGGAAGUCCAAGGUUUCCUACGCAACGUUGAUCGGCGUAGGGUUAGUCGGUCCUAAGGAGUAACCGAAAGGUGAAUUCGAUGGACAGCUGGUCAAAAUUCCAGCACCGUAAUUAUCCUGUUAUGCAAAGAAGGGACGCGAUAAGGAAUGCUCGGCAUGCCUAUUGGACAUGGCGUGUGGAAUCCCGUAGGGAAGUGAUUGUGGUUAAAAGAACAGUUACGUUAUUAACUGAGGGGGUUUCAAACUUUAAGGCUUCGGCCUUAAAGAAUCUAGCAAGAACUACGUCGCCAAGAAAAGCUUCGUUGAUAGGGAUAUUAUGACCGUACCGAAAACCGACACAGGUGGACAGGGGUAAAAGCCCCAAGGUGAACGAGAAAACCAUCCUCAAGGAACUCGGCAAAUUAACCCCGUAACUUCGGAAUAAGGGGAGCCUGAGACAUAAUAGACUUCGCGUCUAAAGUGUUUUCAGGUCGCAGAGAAUUGGUCUGAGCGACUGUUUAUCAAAAACACAGGUCCGUGCUAAAGCGAAAGCUGACGUAUACGGGCUGACGCCUGCCCAGUGCCGGUAGGUUAAUGCAAGGAGUGAGAGCUUUGAGUUGAAGCCCCGGUGAACGGCGGCCGUAACUAUAACGGUCCUAAGGUAGCGAAAUCCCUUGUCGGGUAAGUUCCGACCUGCACGAAAGGCGUAACGACUUGGACACUGUCUCGAGGGUGGACUCGGUGAAAUUGCAUGACCCGUA